RNAcentral lists this long non-coding RNA (634 nucleotides) under Mytilus galloprovincialis (Mediterranean mussel). The record is from RNAcentral. Lineage: Eukaryota; Metazoa; Mollusca; Bivalvia; Mytilida; Mytilidae.
GGUAUUGACAAACGUAAUGGUGGUCGAAGAAGACAUGAAAACGACAUUUUCAACCUAAGAUAUAAUAUUUCGACAAAUUUUACUUAAAACCGGUAAGUCUUGGACAACGGAUUCGAAUGUUUUGGGUCUGUAUAUUUUUUUAGAACCCCAUGUACAAAAAUAAUAAUUUUAAAAUUCAUUUUCUACCUGUAAAUACCUGUUUCAGGUAUUAAUCUACCUGUACAAAUAUUAACUGUAUUGAACAUUUACUGUGAAGAUAAUUUUACAGAUUUACUAAUGAAUGUCGUUUGUGUAUUGAUUUCAGGUUUCCACAGUGCCAAAAAUAGAGACCAUCAUAUAAGCCAUCCCCAUUAUGGUCAUAUACAUGCCGCGUAUCCAUAGAGGGGGACUACAAUACCAAAAAGUUUCGUUACCGUAGCAUGCUGGAUUUUCUAUGCAAAGAACAUAAAGGCCGAUAUGGUAUCCCCAGAAUUCCGAGUGUUAUGUUGUAUGGAUUAUUCGUGUUACUCCUGUGUACGACACAGGCAUGGGGAGGGUGCACAAGCCCCUGUCCCACUGGAUGUACUUGCAUUCAAAUCAGCGGUAAAUCAUGUACAAUCAACUGUUCAAAAGCUGGACUUUCUGGGGUGCCAGG